RNAcentral lists this unclassified non-coding RNA (2316 nucleotides) under Zea mays. RNAcentral's name for it is "misc RNA Zm00001eb396870". Lineage: Eukaryota; Viridiplantae; Streptophyta; Magnoliopsida; Poales; Poaceae. The record is from RNAcentral.
CCCAGGAUUGCAUUUGCUUCGGCAAAGGGUUGCCAGCUCGUCAAAACCUAAGCGUUCUGUCCACUCGCCUGGUUCUCGUCAGUCGCCAGUUCAGCCGCCAGGUCCGCUUCGUAGGACGUACGCCGAGGUUCUCAAGUCGACUGCUCUCUCUGGGAAAAUGGCUAAGGAAGGCGCCGAGGGGGAUGGCUGGAGAGUGAUGGAUCGCCGUCGUCAACAGGUACGAGGUCGUUCCUCGGGUGCUGGCAUCUGGUCGCUUCGCGGUCGUGCAAACUGGGAAGCCCGUGGUCGUGGUACCUGGCGUGGCCGUGGCGGUCGGUUCGUCGCGUCUGGUUCGUCGCUGGGCCUUGAUGCCAGGGUGGCUGUUGAGCGCAGUAGUGGUGUUCAGUCCGAGGCAGCUAAAAAAAGGGUGGCCGACGUUGCAUCUGGGGUAUCGGACAUGGGGAAGAAACGCCGUGAAGAGCUUUGUUGCGAAAUUUGUGAAGACAAUCAUGUGCCUGAGGAGUGUCCGGUAUUUAAUGGUCCAAAACCGCAGGCAGCUCUCUGUGGUUUUGCGGGAGGUGAAUCUGGUUUUUUUCAAAUUCCUACCUGGGGAGCAAAGGGGGUAUUACCAAGGUCGGAUGGUGUCACGGCCUUCAUAACAGUGAAGGAAGGGAAUGUUACUGCCGAACUCGUUAAGUCUGAACUCUCUAGACUUAUUCCAGUGAAGUGGAAUUGGUCGGUCCAGAAGCAUGCAGAUGGUUUUAUAGUGACAUUUCCGUGCAGAGUGGAGCUUCAACGUAUGAUUGCUAUGAAAUAUGUUCAUACGUUGGGAGGAGAAGGUAUCUUAGUAAUUCAAGAGGUUAACCAAAAAAUAGAACCGAUAUCUUAUCUGCAGAAGGCCUGGGUGAAUGUGUACGGGGUUCCUUUUGAGAUCCGCUCAUUUCUUCCUCUGUGGGCAGUUGGUUCUAUUUUGGGGGCAACUCAGAAAGUGGACAUGCGCUACACUCGGAAAAUGGGGGUGGUUCGAAUUUUGGUUGCAGUGACGGAUGUGAAUCAUAUCCCGGAAUCCGCAGAAAUAGUGGUUGGUGAAGGAUUAUACGAGAUAUUCUUCAAAGUUGACAAGGUCCUUAAAGAUGGUAGAUGGAUUGACAAUAAUAAUACGGGUACUCGAGACAGAGAUGAUAAGGAACAAGGUGAAAAUGAUGAUUUUACUGAGAAUCAUGAGAAUGAUAUUUUUCAGCCAGAGGAAGCAGUAGAAGACACUGUCAUGGAGGAUAAUUCCUUACAUAGUGACCCUAUGAAACCACAUGAUGAAUCUUCAGAUAUGGGGAUAGGGGUUCAGCACAGGAAACCGUUCAUUAAUGACUCAGUGACAUUGGAGUCAGAAGUUUUGACUUCGGUUGAGCCAACAGUUUUGAAUUUAAUGACCUCUACUUGCGCUGAUCAGCAUUUACAGCCAGCUCCUGAGGAAUAUGGACUGGAUUCGGUGAUUUGUAUUGCCGAUCAUGCUUCAGAUGGCCUGGAAUUGUCAACAGGAAGGGUUGGCGUUGAUGGAAAUCUCAGCAGCUUGAUUGAUUUGGCUCCAGACUGCUCGGUUCUUGCUAGUGGAUCCAUCAGUGAAGAGGGGCUGUCUGUGUCCAAAGUAAGUAUUCCAUCUCUGGAAGCAACAGUGCCAUUUGCUGGGAGAGAGAUCAACUUGGCUUUUGAUGAUAUUAAUAUUCCUUCUGCGGCUGACAGCUUGCUCAUCGAAAAACAUAAGACACGUGAGAGUACCAUUCACCUGGGACAUGUUAAUUAUUUUACUGAUGUACCCCGUUCUGUCCUCCAGGAGGCACUUAAGUCUAAUUCUCUUACUAAGAGAGUAAAGACUGAAAAACUUAAUCAAGGGGGUGUCAUGUUAAGUGCCAGGAGGACUAACACAGAUGAAGAUAUAUUGUCCAAAGCUCAGCGUCUGGCAGCAAAGCGUAAUUUAGAAAUCAUGUCGGCGUGCGAGUCAUCUCAAGCUGGAAGCGAUCGAUGUGGGCGUGUCGUGUCCCUGCCAUUCAUUCAUCAAUUCGCUCCCAGAUCCGCAGACAGGCACGGCACGCGGUGCCGAUCCUCAGCGAUCGUGUCACGUCGUGCUGGCGAGCAGUGAGCCAGUGACUGACUGACUGCAGAGUGAAAGUUCACGCAGUGUCCGAGUCGACGUAACGGCGGAAAAAGGUCAAACGGCAACAGGCACUUGUAUCGAGAGGCUUUUCCUUUCUCGUGAUAACCAUAAAGGCCGAAGAAGCAAGACCGAUCUCGUCUGACAAUGCCAUUGCAAAAAUAAGAGGACUAUAUCCAAGUUCACCGCAC